CCUACGGGGCGCAGCAGUGAGGAAUAUUGGUCAAUGGGCGAGAGCCUGAACCAGCCAAGUCGCGUGAAGGAUGACGGCCCUACGGGGUGUAAACUUCUUUUGUCAGGGAGCAAUUGAGUACACGUGCGGGCUUAGCGAGAGUACCUGAAGAAAAAGCAUCGGCUAACUCCGUGCCAGCAGCCGCGGUAAUACGGAGGAUGCGAGCGUUAUCCGGAUUUAUUGGGUUUAAAGGGUGCGUAGGCGUAAUAUCAAGUCAGCGGUAAAAAUACGGGGCUCAA
RNAcentral lists this ribosomal RNA (278 nucleotides) under uncultured bacterium. RNAcentral describes it as "partial 16S ribosomal RNA". It matches the Rfam family "Bacterial small subunit ribosomal RNA", at positions 338 to 612 of the family's 1533-position model. The record is from RNAcentral.